UUCCGGUUGAUCCUGCCGGACCUGACUGCUAUCGGAUUGAUACUAAGCCAUGCGAGUCAUUGUAGCAAUACAAGGCAUACGGCUCAGUAACGCGUAGUCAACCUACCCUAUGGACGGGAAUAACCUCGGGAAACUGAGUAUAAUGCCCGAUAGAACAUUAUGCCUGGAAUGGUUUAUGUUCCAAAUGAUUUAUCGCCGUAGGAUGGGACUGCGGCUAUCAGUUUGUUGGUGAGGUAAUGGCCCACCAAGACUAUUACAGGUACGGGCUCUGAGAGGAGUAGCCCGGAGAUGGGUACUGAGACACGGACCCAGGCCCUAUGGGGCGCAGCAGGCGAGAAAACUUUGCAAUGUGCGAAAGCACGACAAGGUUAAUCCGAGUGGUUUCUGCUAAAGGAACCUUUUGUCAGUCCUAAAAACACUAACGAAUAAGGGGUGGGCAAGUUCUGGUGUCAGCCGCCGCGGUAAAACCAGCACUCAAGUGGUCAGGAUGAUUAUUGGGCCUAAAGCAUCCGUAGCCUGCCCUGUAAGUUUUCGGUUAAAUCUGUAUGCUCAACAUACAGGCCGCCGGGAAUACUGCAGGGCUAGGGAGUGGGAGAGGUAGACGGUACUCGGGAGGAAGUGGUAAAAUGCUUUGAUCUCUCGAUGACCACCUGUGGCGAAGGCGGUCUACCAGAACACGUCCGACGGUGAGGGAUGAAAGCUGGGGGAGCAAACCGGAUUAGAUACCCGGGAGUCCCAGCCGUAAACUAUGCAAACUCAGUGAUGCAUUGGCUUGUGGCCAAUGCAGUGUUGCAGGGAAGCCGUUAAGUUUGCCGCCUGGGAAGUACGUACGCAAGUAUGAAACUUAAAGGAAUUGGCGGGGGAGCACCACAAGGGGUGAAGCCUGCGGUUCAAUUGGAGUCAACGCCGGG
Molecule: ribosomal RNA, 911 nt
Filed under: uncultured crenarchaeote
Lineage: Archaea; Thermoproteati; Thermoproteota
Description: bacterial SSU rRNA
Rfam family: Archaeal small subunit ribosomal RNA
Source: RNAcentral